CUCUCGUCGACCUCUACAUGGUCAGCUCGGGUGAAAUGUCCUUUAAGCUCCAAAAUGCUCCAAAAUCAUAGCUUUACUCCGAAAUGCACCUGAACCUGAAAACAUACCUAGAAGAGUAGAAAACAUAGAUAUAUAUAGUAAAACACCUAUAUACCAUGGAUGAAAACGGAUCAAAUCCAAGGUAUAUCAGGGAUCCUCUCACACUUGAUCCCAUGUUCUCGAUGAAGAGAACCAUGCUUUGUAGUGGUCCUCCCCGUGUCUCCAUAGCAAGCUAUCAUCGCCCGUAGGUGAUAGCUGCAACAUCGUCGAAUGCUCCAUUGUCCAGACGUGGCUGCAUCAGCAACAGUUGCAUAGCGAGUGAUAGCGAGGAACUGAGUACCUGAGUCACCUGCAACAUCAAGCAGCCUUCCCAUGUCAAGCCAAUUAUCAAACCAGAAUAAAGUGUGCCUACUGUUACCGAUAUCAUAUCGCAGAUAAGAGGCAGCCUGUUGCAGGAGCUUAAGGAGCUUGCACCAGAUCCACGAGCCAGAACCAGUGUCGUUUACAUCCCAGAAGCAUCGACAAUGAAGCAGAUUAUGUUUUGUCCAGGAAACCCACAACGAGCCUUAGUUCGUGAGUAAUUGCCAUAUUAGGCUUAGAGCAAAAAUACGCGAUGAGUCUUCCAUGCGCCUGAUGCCCAAGCCCCCUUCCUGUUUUGGUUUGCAGACAUCCAACCAAGCAACCUUAGCCUUCGUGUUUGUGUGUGGAGAGCCUAGCCAGAGGAAGGCACUACACAUGCUUUCGAUGAUUUCAAGACAGCGUUUUGGCAAGCGAAAAACAGAACACCAGAAGUUGGUUAUGCUGACAAUGACUGAGUUAAUAAGCUGGAGAUGACCAGCGUAAGAUAGUGCACAGGUAGACCAAGAAAGAAAAUGUGACAUGAUCUUGUCGAUAAGAGGCUUGUAGUCUGCUCGAGACAUUGAUUUUGUAGUAAGAGGAAGACCAAAAUAUCGAACUGGGAGAGCGUCUAUUGGUAUGCCCAUUCGGUUUACCUCUUCUUGGAAACCUGAGUGAUUCUUCCUGCCAUGAAGAUUGACGAUUUUUCAGGGUUUAUUACGAGGCCUGAAAUCGCAGUAAAAUCAUCCAUUGUGGCAAAAAUCCCACGGAGUGAUGCUGGAUCUCCAUUAGGGAAAACCAUAAUGUCAUCAGCGAAGCUUAGGUGGGUGAGAUUUAUCUCGGAACAAGUAGGAUGGAAGCCAAUCUUUCAUGCCAAGGCUGCUUUCUUUAGUAGGCGAGACAUAACAUUUAUAGCGAUAACAAAGAGAUACAGGGAUAGAGCACAUCCUUGUCUUAAACCUCUGGUGCUCGGAAAGAAACCCUCUCCGAAACAGAGAAAGCAGCAGUUGAUAGGCAAAUAUGGAUCCAAUGCACGAACUGGUCAGGAAUGUUCAUUGCUUGCAGGGUGUCUAAGAUAAAAGACCACUUUACUGAGUCGAAAGCUUUGGAGAUAUCAAGUUUCAGAACCUUGUGACGACCAAUAGGGUCCUUAUGGUAGUUCUUGACUAGCUCUGUAGCAAGUAGGACGUUUUCAAGUAGAAGCCGAUCCUUAAUGAAUGCACACUGGUUUGGUUCGAUCAGCUCAGGGAGAAGUACUUUAAGGCGGUUUUCUAGGACCUUUGAGACCACUUUGUAAAGAAUGUUGAAGCAAGAUAUAGGCCGGAAAUCUUUUAGAUUUUUUACACCUUAAACCUUAGGGAUGAGUGCCAGGGUGGUGGCAUUAACCCCCUUAGGAAGGAAACCGUACAUAAAGAAUGAUUGGACAGCAAUGGUAGUCUCGGCUGAUGAUGGGCCAAGCUGCACCAUAAGAACUCUGCAGGAUAUCCGUCAGGCCCUAGAGCUUUAUUGGAUGGCCUCUGAGAUGGGGUGAACCAGUAGAGAAGCAGUAUUAUCAGGACAGCAGAACUCCAAAAGGUCUGGCAGAUCAAUGAGAGUCUCAUUACGUGCAAGACUUUCAGUCGGGCCUAGAAAAUGUGCAAAGUAGCUUGCUGUUGCUUGCUUGAUUGCAGUAGGGUCUGUGAUGAUAUCUCCAUUCUGUAAGACCAUAUUUCUGAUGGCAUUGAAAGAUGUUUGGGUUUGCAUUAUUCUGUGUAAAAAAGUGGUGUUCUGAUCACCAUACUUGAGCUAUGUUAUGCGAGAUUUCUGCAUGUACAAACGCUCUUCAUCAAUGCUUACCAAAUGAUUCCAUGUGUCUAUCGCUUCUGUCACACUGUUAGAAGAGGCAGUAUUAGGCGUUGAGGCGUUGAGAGAGCUUUUUCUUGCAUAUCACUAGAUUUUUGAAUGCCUCCUUUGCUCGAAGAGGUAUAUCAGCAAACCAUGAUUUAUUUGGCAGCCUGGUAGCAGGUUUCAAUUGCUUCAGCGUAUGGUGGAACAGGUACAUAAAUUUCUUAAAGAAGAAGAAGAUGACCUUUUGUCAUGUGACUAUAUAUGCUCGGACUAGCGUUUUUAAAUAUCACACUUCCUGAAAAUUUGUUUUAGUGGUUCAUGUUCAGAAUAUUCAAAACGAUGAAAUAAUGUCAUCAACUAAAACCAGUUAAAACAGAGAAAAAUAAUGCUUAGAAUUAAACUUUUUGUAAAUUUUAUACUACUUUUAGUGUUAACUUGUGAUUUUUAUAUAAUAUAUGUUAUACAUAUAAGUAUUUUUGUUGCCGUAUCCCAGCCGUACCUUUGGUUUUGCCAUUUUCCGUCCGGGUUCUCGUCCCCGUUUCCAGUCCCCGUGCCCAUAUCGGGGCUGCUUAGCAUAACAUUGAGCUUUUUUAGACUUGUUUACAUACCUUAUGCAUGCAGGAUUAGCUUUCCUAAACUAUUUUUAAUUACCGCUGUCGAUUAUCUCAGUUUCUCUUCAUCUAUUACUGGUUAUCCUAAUCAAAACUUGAUGGGUUGUUAUCCUUUAAUUUCGGUUUGGUUCACAAUUUUUUUGUCAACUCAUAUAUUGUAUAGUCUCAAAUUAUAUUUUUCUGAUCCUCAUGGUUUAAUAACAUAUUAUAUGGUUUGUUACACAAAACUACAUAAUAUGUGAUUCCAAUUUGAAGCUUACAUGUUUUAUGUUUUAUGGAUUUGGGUUUAUAUUUGUAGACAGUAUAAAUUUUAUGAUGUUUAGGAUUUAGAGUUUAAUUAGGAUUCCGUGUUCCAUAUAGUUAGGUUUUAAUAUUAAGUGUAUUUUCCACGCGAAACGCAUGAAUCACAAUAUAUUAUGUCAUUUAGAUAUUUAUAAUUAUGGGGUUUGGUUGAUUGAUUAUCACAUAUAAUUUGAAAUUAUGUUUUGAUAUUGUAUCAAAAUAUCACCCGACUAAAUCUUUUCAAAAAGAUAAUAGGAGAAAUAAGGAAUACUAGUCACGAAUACCUCUAUAAUAUAUUUGAAUUUUUCGUUAAAUAUAUUUUUUAAAUUACUAAUUGAUUCUUCUCAAGGAAGUUUCUCCUUCUAAGUAUUUUCUUAUAUAAUGAAUUGAGAUCCCUUCCAAACGGAGUACAUUUUUUCAAUUGCCCUCUAUAUAUGCAUUUGUAUAGUGAUCUUUUCUAUAUAGUUAAUCGAUAUUUUUUCCUAACUACUCUCUGUAUUUUUAUGCUCUUCAUUCUUGUACUAAUUAUUCAUAACUAAUGCAUGAAUCAUGACUAUUCUGAAUACCAAAUAAGUAAGAAGGCAAUAGAGAAUGAUUAUUCAUAUCUGGCCGUCUUAUGUAUUUCCUUUAAUAUUGAUCUAUCAUUUGUUCUAUCCAUUGUUUUAUAUGGAUCAACUAUUUUGCUCGAAUUAAUAUUCUAAUCAUGCACUAAUAAUUCAUAUCUAAUACAGAUGAAUCUUGACUACUUUAAAUACCAGACAAGUGAGAAGUUAAUUGAUAAUGAAGUGAGUACUCUUGCCGUCUAAUAUAUUUUUCUUAAUAAUAUUUAUCUAAUUCCCUCGACUAUUGUUUAUUCUAUCAUUCCUGCUCUAAUGAUUCCUUACUAAUGCAGGUGAACGCUGAAUGGGUAAUGAAGGCAAUGGGUAAUGAAAAGAAUGAAAAAAUUCUAUGAGGAGCAAACAAAUAUGAAGCUAACUGAUCAUGAACCAAUUGCCAAAAGAGUAACAAGGAAAUGAUUCAAGAUGUGAGCAUCUCUACAAAUAUAUUACUGUGAACUAGGAUUUCAUAUGUGACAACUCUGAUUAUUUUCAUGUAUUGUUCUAUUAAUAUUCAUCCAGCUCUCAUUUUAAUUAAUCAUAAAAAGUUACUUGUCAAAGAUGGUGUGUAUUCAAAUUACCUUUACUAAUAAAUCAUUUGUACAAGACCAUCAAUUUGUAAUCUCUACUGAUUUUUAUAUUAUGUGUAUAAAAUGUUUUUCAACUCAAAGUAUGACAAUGCUACAAAAACAAUGUAUACCGUUUAAGGAUUAGUUCAAUAUAAGGUACACUCUGAUAUUUUAGUUUUGAUUGAGUUGGUCACU
Molecule: long non-coding RNA, 4455 nt
Organism: Brassica rapa (field mustard)
Lineage: Eukaryota; Viridiplantae; Streptophyta; Magnoliopsida; Brassicales; Brassicaceae
Source: RefSeq, a predicted model, not a curated record